This 510-nucleotide long non-coding RNA is filed under the name Phoenix dactylifera (date palm). RNAcentral describes it as "long non-coding RNA (PDAC_LNC021787)". The record is from RNAcentral. Lineage: Eukaryota; Viridiplantae; Streptophyta; Magnoliopsida; Arecales; Arecaceae.
AUAAAACUAUUUUGCUUUGUCUGGAUCAUAGCAUAUCAAACAUAUAUCAUGCAAAAAAUAUUUUUAUCAUGUAGGAUUGGCGUACAAGGAUUCUUACCCUUUAUUGAAAACUCAGACAACUAAUUACCCGCUCUCACGCGAUCUAUAAACCGGAACGCGCAGGACUCCGCUCAGCGUUCCUCCCGUCCAAUAGAUUGUUCCCCUACAGAGUCAAAUCAUCAUUAAAAUUUACUCAAGACAUAUGAUAAUCCAGGACCCCUGUUUAAUCCUCUAAAGGGUCCUCUAAAAUCUAGCAUUUCCAAGACUAUGUAGAGCCCUCAAAACAAUGAACUCUCCGGAUCUAAGUUUAGAGGGAGAGAGAGCCCCAUCUAGAGAUAAACUAGAGAGAGAAGAGGAAAGUAAAGACGAGUAGGUCUCCCUCUCUCUUUCCCUCUCCUUUCUAUUCUCCUCGUGGGCAUGCUCGGUGGCAGUGGCCACCUGUGGCCGGCGACCCCAGCGGUCGACGGCCCC